UCUGUAAGCGGUUGAAGGUGUGUGGUAACGCAUGCUGGACGUAUCAGAAGUGCGAAUGCUGACAUGAGUAACGAUAAAGGGGGUGAAAAACCUCCUCGCCGGAAGACCAAGGGUUCCUGUCCAACGUUAAUCGGGGCAGGGUAAGUCGACCCCUAAGGCGAGGCCGAAAGGCGUAGUCGAUGGGAAACGGGUUAAUAUUCCCGUACUUCUUACAAUUGCGAUGGGGGGACGGAGAAGGCUAGGUGGGCCUGGCGACGGUUGU
This 262-nucleotide ribosomal RNA is filed under the name Vibrio alginolyticus. RNAcentral's name for it is "partial 23S ribosomal RNA". It matches the Rfam family "Bacterial large subunit ribosomal RNA", at positions 1240 to 1505 of the family's 2925-position model. Lineage: Bacteria; Pseudomonadati; Pseudomonadota; Gammaproteobacteria; Vibrionales; Vibrionaceae. RNAcentral also lists the same sequence under 1 other name. The record is from RNAcentral.